This 17967-nucleotide long non-coding RNA is filed under the name Gossypium raimondii (Peruvian cotton). RNAcentral's name for it is "long non-coding RNA (GRAI_LNC005292)". The record is from RNAcentral. Lineage: Eukaryota; Viridiplantae; Streptophyta; Magnoliopsida; Malvales; Malvaceae.
AGUAUGAACAUGCAGAUGAUUUUCGGUUUGCUCUGUUUUCUCUUCAUCACCCUCGUGGCUCUCUUGGGUUUUGUGAAGGUGAGAUUUGGUGUAAUGAGAUGUAGCAAACACAUCCACCGUGCCAAUGGCAGCCGUCACAGCCAUCAGCAGGGAUUUAAAUUGUGGUUGCGGCAGCGUUUUCGGUUGUGUUGUGUUUAUCGCGGCUGCGAGCAUAACGGAUGUUAUUGCGGUCACUGUGAAUAUCGUGGUCGUGAAUUUUUUUUUAAAAUUCGCACGACUUAUUGUAAAACUUAAUAAUUAUAAUUAUAAAAAGUCACUUUUAAUGAUUUUUAGAGUGUUUUCUAACACUUAUGAACUUUUAUUAAUAUGAGAGCACAAUUUUUACAAUCAUUGAUUAUUCUCAUAUUUAUUUACGAAUUUUCUAAGAAUAUUAUAUUAACUAAUAACAAAGUAAAAAGAUAAGAAAUAUUAAACAUUCUCAUAUUUAAUAAGUUUGAAAGUUUUUGUAGAUAAAAUAAUUGAAAAUUCAUACAUGAGAGAGGUCUUCAAUAUUUCUUGACAGCUUUGAAGAUGGUGAAUAUAUCAAAACAUCCUAUGCUACAAAAGGAAAAAAAGAAUAGAUAAAUGUAUAGAUUCUCAUUAAUUAUUCCUAUUUCUUACCACUUAUUCUCGCUCUCAUUCUACUUUCAUAUAUAGUUUAACAUACUUCAAUUUUUAAUUAUCUUUUCAUAAAAUAUACUCCGUUCAUUUAUCUAAAGAUAUAUUUUAAACGUUUUAAUAUCAUUAAAAUUAAAAACAUUAACAAAAGUUUUCUUUAAAAAAAACAUAUCUUACAAAUAGUGAUAGUGGUUCGAUGUAGUUUUCACCAAUUAGUGGAAUGAGGAGGAGGAUCAAAUCCUUCACCUUCACUUUGAGAGCGUUCUUGACUUGAUUCUCUUGGCCUUUGUCUAAAAAAAUAUAUAAAAAAGUAACAUUUUCACAUUGAUUUUCAUAUAAUUGAUAUGGAGGAUAUAUUUAAGGAGAAGGAUACAUGAGAGGUGGAGGUGGGUGAUAUAUUAGUGGUGGAGGAUGCAUUUGAGCUGAUAUGACACACCAUAAUUAGGAAAUGGUGGAUAAUAACCAUAUGGUUGUGGAUAACCAUGUGAAGGUUGGAAAUAUAAAGGUUGUUCUGGCGGAUAAAAACUUUGAGUGCUAGUAGAUGAAUCACUAUACCUAAGGUUACUAGAACUCGAUCUUCUACCAGAUGAAAAGCCUAUAGAAGUAUGCUUUUUGCCUUUUUCUUUUGAUGGAGCUCUAGGUUCACUUCUAUCUCUCCUAGGUUUAGGAAACAUAUUCCAUCAAAUUCUGAUCUAUCACGGAAAUGUCCACUAGUGGUACCAACCCCAUAUUCUCCUCCAUACCGACUAGAAGACUUAAUUUCACCUUUAUCACCACUAUGUCCAUCAUCGUCAUCAAUUGGACUUAAACCAUUACCAUCCGGUCCAUCGCUACUCUGACUUGGCAUUGCAUUAGAACUUGAAUGAGACAAAUUUUGUUGUUGAUAUUGAUCAACAUUCAUUUCAUCAUCGGAGGUAUCCAUAGGCAACACACCGACAUUUUCACCAUCUAACAAAUAUUCUCUUUCUCUUGAAGUCAUUCUAAUGGUGGAUCAACAUCUUCAAAGAUAAGAUCAAGGCUGAUAGGAUUAAAACUAGCGUUGAUAUCAUCAAUGCUCAUUCUUUUUUGAUGCCUUAUCUGAAGCCUCAUAUUAUAGUAGGUAAACACUAGUUUCUCAAGUUUUUUAUACUUCAACCUAUUUCUUGCCUUGGUGUGAAUAUAACUAAAUGUGCUCCAAUUUCGUUCCCAAUUUGAUGUAGAAGUUGUUUGACUAAGCACUUUAAUUGCUAAUUUUUGUAACUUAGGAACACAUGUGCCGUAUAUUAUCCACCACUCAGCUGCAUAAUAUUAUUUAAAUUUCAAAAUAACUUCAAAAUGUACAAUAUGAUUAAAUAAUAUAAAUUAAAUUAAAUAAUUUAAUUAACUACUUACCCAAAUUCAUUUGCUUCUAAGCUCUUUGUGCUUGUGGAGUACCGAAUUUUUCAUGUUUAUCUCUAAAUUGUAACAACUGCAUAAAUAAAAGAUAGAGUAAAAAUGAAAAAAAAUAAUUCCAUUUCAAAUUAUGUAACUAAGUUACAAAUACUAGUACUUGAAUCUAACCUGAUUAACCAUUUUGACUUGAGUAUCAAAAGAAGGUUCUAAUAUUUCAAUUACUGAUCUUGUACCUUCUAAUGUUUCUAUUAGUACAUUCUCAGAAUGUUCCACCCCAAAUUGAAAUUGAAGAUUGAAAAAAUAACCAAAGUAUAAUUUAUAAGAAUAUCAUCAAAUAAUAAUAAUCUAAAGCUUAAAAUAAUAAAAUAUAAAAAUAGUUCUUAAUUAUCUGAAACAUUUUAUCUUACUAGCUAAAUGCAAGUCGGAAUGCAUAAAAUUCCAUCUUUUGUCAAUAAUCUUUUCGUACUCGGUGAAAUAUUGACAAUCUUGUUGAAUUGCUUGUUUAACUCUAUCAACAGCCUCAUAAAUAAAACCUAUUGUUGGUUUUUUAUCACCAUCCACAAGUCUCAAUACUUUUACUAGGAGCUCGCAAACUUUUAUAAGGUCAUUGGCUUUUUUUCAAAAAAAAUUUCCCAAAACAACUUUUUUGACUUCAUAAGCAGGCCCUGACUUUUGCUAUCCCCAUUUUGAUUCUUUAAAUUCCUAUAUAUUCAUAAGAAAAUUUUUAAAAUAAUAUAAUUUAAAUUAUUUGGAACUAAUAAAAUCAUUAAAGGUUGCUAUAUUUAAGUGAUUAUAUUAACUAAUUAUAAAAUACUGAUAUUUGAAUUAAACAUUUCUCUCAGACCUUGCUUUUGCAUUGUUAUCUUUUCAAGUUGAAUGAAAUGAGUUGCAAAUCGAGUAAGAGCAGGUCGAAGUAUUUGCUUCCCUUGUGUAUAUUUCUUUAUCAAAUCAACGGUCCAAAUGUGAUUGUAUAUAAAGCAAGUCACUUUCUUUGCCUCAUCUAACACUUUUGCUACACUAGGCUUUUUCCCAAUAUUUUUAAUGCAUAAAUCUAAACAGUGAGCCACACAUGAGGUCCAUAUAGAUGCUUUCUUUUCAACAUUAAUUUUUUUCAACGACUUUCAUUGCUGCCUCAUUAUUAGUCACUAUUUGGACAAUGCAACUUUCUCCAAUUUCUUCUACAACUGAAUCUAACAAAUUGUAGUAGAAUUCAACAUCUCUACUACGAACACUCGAGACACCCAUCGAUUUUCAAAAAAUGGUUCAUUUACUACAAUAAACAAGGAAAUUAAUUAUGUGCAUUUGAUUCAAAUUGUUGGUCCAACCAUCACACAUUAGAGUUGCAACCAAUUCUUUCCAAUGAGUCUUUAGUCCAUUUACCCAAUCAUGAACUCGUUGAUGCUCUGACUUCAAAUACACAUCUGAAACCUUAUAAGGUGUUGGGAGCUUUACACCUUGUCUAACUUCUAUUGACACUUGAAUUAAGUUAUACAACCUUGGAGAGCUUGCUAAUUGAAAAAGAAGUCGUUCAUAUAUUAAAAAUUUAGAUACCGCUUCACCUAUCUUCCUCCGUAAAGUCUUUAAAAAAGAGUCACUGAUCUUUAGUUGCUUUGAGCUUUUGCUUCUAGCCAAUUCAUGUAUAGCUCCCCUUAAGGUAAACUUAGACUCACUUGGGAUGAAUUUACUUGUUCUUUCUCCAUGAUAUUCUCCAGCUGAUCCAUGAGAAGAUCGCCGUUCUUCAUAAAUGUUACUCCAACCACUAGUACUUCUUUUGAAUUCUUCCCUUCUAUGCCACCCAUGUUGUGAUUGAAUACAUUCUCAAGUUGCUUGCCUUAUAGCAGAAACCCUAUCAAUGAAUUCCUCGUGUUCAUCCUCCUCUACUAUUAAUUGAGAUAAGAAUUCAUCUGUUAUCCUCUUUUUGUCUAUUUUCUUUAUGUUGCUUUCUUUCAAUAUAUUCAUCAUACUUUCUCUAAUGACACCUGUUAAUAUAAUUCACACUUUAUAUUAUUAUGAAUUAUGUAUAAUCUUUAUUGAUAAAUUUACAAUAACAUUUAAAAAUAAUAAUAAAAUAUCACAUAUCAGUAACAUUAGGGCAUGAUACAACAUUGUCGGUUUUAUAAGCAAUGUGCUCUUUAAAUCAUGUUAUUCCUCCUUUCACAACUUUACCACAAAGUUUACAUACGACAUUUCCUUUUGUAUUUGGCACUAGAGUUCCAAAGUGCCAACCUGUAUCAUUAUUUGGUGCACCCUUCAAUCCUUUAGUUGAGAACUCUUCACGUGGUGACAUGUUUUAUUUUUAUUUAUAUACAAGAAACAUAAAAUUAUAUUUAGAAAUAUAAGCAAUUCAUUACUUAUAUUAUCAAUAAUAUAAUACAAAAAAAGUAAACAUCACUAACAUUGAAAAUUUAAAUUUAUUGCAUAAUACAUACUUUUUUUAAAAAAAACAACACACCAUAACCCAUUAUUACCUGGUCACCGAAAACCCAAAAAUUAAAAAUUAAAAAUUAAAAUAAAAAGUUCCCCAAAUCCCGUCAAGCCCCAACCCCUUUCCUUUUUUUUUUUAAAUAUAGCUGAAACUUUUUAUUAGAGAAAAGAAACCUUAAAAACAAUUACAAAGCAAUACAAUCUAGCCUAAGCUAACCUACCAGCUAACAACUAAUCUCACCAACUAACUCUAACUAACUGCUCCAUAGCAGACUAAGCUACUGUAUAAACCGUAAUAUUUGUGAUUAGGGCAAAAGAAAUUGCUAUGUGCGUUUUAUAGGUUUUUUAAAUGCAAAGCUUCAGUGUUAAUAGUCGUUAUAAUUUUUUGCUAAAAAUAGUUUAGGGUUAGAUAAAUUGCAUUCUUUUAAUAACAUUCUUAAUAUAAUUAUUUUUAUAUUAAAAGAUUUUAUUUUAAAUUAUAUUUUGAAAUAAAAUAUUUUAUAUUGAGUUAAUUUAAUAUUAAAUUAUAUUCAAAUAUUUUAUUUUUAUAUUUUUUGAAUCCAAAUUUUAAAAGACUAAUCUGAAAACCAAUUUUGUUUUGUUAUUUAAGGUUGGAUACCAAAGAAUAACUAUUACGGGAAGUCAAGAAAUAGAGAAGUAAUGAACAUUCUAUUAAAUGAGUAUUACGUUCAAUAAAAUAAAUGAAUAAUUCGCUACAGGAAAUUAAGGUUUUAGCGGCGUUUUUAGUGGCGUUUGGACGGAAAACUCCGCAAAUAUUAUACAUUAGUGGUGCUAACGGAAAAACGCCGCAAUAGGUAAAGCAGUAGCAGCGUUUAUGAGAAAAACGCCGCAAAAAGGUCAAGCAGUAGUAGCGUUUAUGAGAAAAACGCCACCAAAGGUUAAGCAGUAGCGGCGUUUAUGAGAAAAACGCUGCAAAAAGUCAAACAAAAAAUCAUUUUAUUUUAAACAAAACGACGCCACUUUGCUCCCUGUAUUCUCACAUUUCAUCCAAGUGCCCAUCAUGUAUUCUUUUCGACAACUCAUGCACUCUUUCAUCCUCUUCUAUUUAUUAUUUAACUAGUUUCUUGAUAUUAAUUAAAAUACAAUUUUUUUAAUUUAAUAUUUAAAAUCUUCAAAAAAAAUUAAUGACACGUAAAAAAAAUUUGAAAGUGAAAACAUAGAAAAAUAUAUGUUAAAAAUGAAAAAAAAUUAAAAUACUUAUUUAAAAUAUUUUUUUAAAAUUUUUUGGUAUAUGACUUGUUUUUUAAUUUAUAUAUUAAUUAAUUUCUUAUAUAAUUUUAAAAGAGAUAAUAUUAAUUUUAAUAUAUUAAAAUUAUCAUUAUAAUUUAAAUUAUUUAAAAGAUAAUAGAUAAACUUUAUAUAUAUUAAAAUUAAAAAAACUUGCUAACCCAUACAUCUCUAGAGAAACAAAAUUAAUUAGUAAAUUGAAAAAGUAAUUUAAAUUUCCUAAAAUAUUGAAAGAAUAUAUAUAUAAUUACAAAAGAGAAAAAAAAAUUUAAAGCUUUUUAGUAUUUUUUUUCAUAUUUUAAAUUUUUUUAGUUUUUAUUUUUAUUUUCUUACAUAAAAAAUUAUAUAAAAAUUUCAAAUGAUAUAAUAAUUCAAUAUAAAAAUUAAAAAAAAGUCAAAUAUUAGCGACUUUUAUGAGAAAAUCAUACUACUUUGCUCUUUUCUUUUUCCCCUAAACUAUAACCCUAAACCCUUAUUUUAUCCCUAAACCCUGAAAUCCCUUAAGGGACGUUUGGUUGGGGGAAUAGGCAUUCAUUCCCCCUAUGCAGCGGGCCUACAACUAAACGGGUGUUUGGUUCGCUGUAAUCACAUUACAGCCCGAAUCGGUUAUUGGCCUAUUACCCCUAUUGCGCGUAAUAGCUAUUACGCCCCCUCUGCGCGGAUUAGGGAUUCCACUUGCUUUUCAUCUUUUCUUUUCCAUUUUUUGCCCUCAUCAAGCUUCCGAGUCUCCCAUGUUUCCCUUCCAGGUAAUUUCUUUUCCCUUCCAUCGGUUCUGCCAUCGGUUCUGAUCGUUCAUUUCUUUUACUUUCUUCAUUUUAUUUCUUCAUGGAUUAUCUCUGUUUAUUUCUCUUUUAUUUCUCUUUUUCCACCCCUUGAUCUACUUGUAUAUUUGAAAAUGAAAUUAAAAAAAGUGGUAAUGUACAGGGAAAGGGAAUAGGGAGUUUUGGUAAAAGAAGGAACAAGACCCACACUCUCUGCGUUAGGUGUGGCCGCCGUAGCUUCCAUUUCCAGAAGAGUCGUUGCUUUGCCUGUGCUUUCCCUGCUGCUCGUAAGAGGACAUGUAAGUGCCUCGUCCGCUUUUUCUUUGUUAUCAAUAUCGUUUAUUGUGUUUUUCGUUUUUGUUGUUAACUUUGUUCCUAAGUCUAAUUUGCAACUAGAUUUCUCAGAUUGACUAGUGGGGUUUCUUUCUUUAUGUGCUUAUAUAUCAAAGCUAAUAUCUUUGACAUGAAUAUCUAUUUAGGUUUCACUUUGAAUGCGUUUAUUCAGAUAAGAAUUCAAUUUCCUGAAUAUGGUGGGAAAAAUGGUGUGAUUAAAAUUUUAAGAUGUUUCUAUAUAAAACUAUGGACUUGUAGUUCGAAUCAAUGUGUUUUCUUCCUGAACCAUAGAUUUGUUAGUUGUAAUGUUACAUGAAAUGUGCUUAUACCAGUAGUAAUACUUCAAGUACUUUGAAUGAACAUGCGUUUUGAUGUGUUUAUAUGAUACGAUUGGAUUGUAAUUUGGUGUUAGUCCUUAAAUCUAAGGGGAAUUGCUUUAUUGUGGGAUUCAGAUAAUUGGAGUGUGAAGGCAAUCAGAAGAAAGACCACUGGAACUGGUAGGAUGAGGCAUCUGCGCCAUGUCCCUCGCAGGUUCAAGACUGGUUUCAGAGAAGGUAAUGAGUUGCUAAUUCUUUUUGCUGACGGGUUUAUAAUUAAACUUCUUUUCAUUCUGUUUUGUUCAAAGCAUAUCUUUGGAGUUUGUUUCUAUUUUCAAUUUCGGUGUUGGAUCAUGAUCUAGGUACUGAAGCAGCACCGAGGAAGAAGGUUGUAGCAGCUUCUGCUUGAGGUAUUACAAGGUUGUUUUGGAUGAAGCCUUCUCUUUUUAGGAAAACUUUUACGAGAACAUUACUCUCAAGGGGUGUCAUUACAUUGAAUGCUUUAGUUGUUUUUAGUUUAUGAUUAUGGAGUUGCAUUAAAUUUUGAACAAGGAUGAAUGCUUUGUCUUGAAAACUGAUGCUGGAAAUGUGGUAUGCAAUUAACCAUUUAGAAAUUAGACCUUUUCCACAUGUAAAUCUUUCCAUAAUAUGCUAUUUGAACAGAUUUGCAAAUUGCGCGAGGGUUUGGGCAUAGCAACCAAUAAUGCUGCUGAAUAUCGUGCCAUAAUUUUAAGGUUGAAACAUGUUGCCUAUUCAAAGUAAUUUUAGCAAACAAGUUGCCUAUUCUAAAGCUUUUCCGUUUACAUUGGUUGUCUUAGGUUACAGACUUGAUGGCUUCUUCGUUCUCUAUGACUUUCAAAUGGUUGCUUUUUACAAAAUGUUGAUUGGAGAGAAAGGUUGGCUCUGCAAUCUAUCAAAAACCUUUUCACUAAGGAGGUAAAUGCAUCUUGUAGAAUAUUUCGUACAAGCUAAUCAUGUUUCUUGCUCUGACAAGUGUUGGAUUUUAACUGUCAAUUAUAUGAUGCCACACUUGAUCAAUUUUAGGUUGUUGAUGUUGUAACUACAAGCACGACUGAUUUGGGGCCACUAAAUCUUGAUUCCUUUAGAAAAGGCAAUUUGUCUGCGUCAUGGAAAGUUGUUGGGGGUAGAGACUUCGGUUCAGGAUAAUGCUAUUUCAAAGGUUUGAAUAAUAAACCAGUCGCUUGUAUUGGCACUUUCCCAUUUUUCUCAAUCCUUUUGUUGGAACUAUUUUUUUUUAUUUUAGUUUCUGAUUGACUGAUAUUUGCUGGAUCCUCACAUGUUCAAAGUCAAACCAAAAGGCUACAGACUUGAAACAAGAAACAUCUCAGGAUAAAGAGGAAAAGUUUCUAGAUGGUAAUUUAUUUAUCUGUUAGAUGUAUGCAUAAUGCUCUUUGUAAAAUUUCACUCAUGCUGCUUGUUCCAUGCAGAUGAUCAUUCACAUGAUACACCUGCUAAAAUACUUCGAAGGGUAAUUACCUUCUUUUGAUGCACCGUUUGCUUUAGUGUUGUCGAAACCAUUUUUUUGAUUCAAAAAAAUGGUUUCGACAAGUGUCAUAUAGAAUUUUAUAAUAAAUGGGCAUUUUAUUUACCUUGCAGCAACUUAGAGAUAAUAGACGUGAGAAGCGGGCCACUGAAUUGGUGAAACAAGAUGAGAAAGUUACCGUGAAACUUGAAAAUGCUGCCAUUGAACAAUCCAAAGCUGUAGACUCUGCUGUUUUGGGCAAAUACAAUCUAUUUUGUACUUUAUAUAAUUGCUUUUUGAUUUGUUGUCUUGCAUGAAGUGAUCUACUACACCUUCAAUGGAGAGAAUAUUUGCUUUUUGAUUAAAUUGUAAAGUUUGGAUAUUGACUAAUUUUAAUUUAUCAAAUUAUAUCAUAGCCUGCUUUCCUUUUUCGUUUUAAAAGAAGCACAGUUUACUAAGUUGAACUUAUGAAUUUAAUAAAAUAAGUUUGUUUUAUUUUAUUAUUAAAACAUGUUAUUUUUAUAAGAUUUAAGCUUAAAUUUAAUCAAAAUGAUAAUAGAAGAAUGAUAUAAGAUUGAUAUAAAAUUAAUAUUCCAAAAAGAAUAUAGGAGAUAAAAUGUUAAGUUAGUUGAAAUAUAAAAUUAAAAUAACUUUACUCGGAUGUAAAUGAAAAACUCUCAUUACAUAAAUAUAUAUAUUGAUGUAUUUUAUGGCUAAAAAAAAUCUGUACCUUGAUUAGUCAAACAAUUAAUUCGUUUCAUAUCUUGUAUCUCCAAAUAACGUGGGGGGAAUUAUAUAUUUUUAUUAAAUUAUAUUUAAUAAUAAUUAUUUUAAAUUAUAUUUUAUAGUAUUAUAUAUUAUGAUUUUAGUAAAUUCAUAUAAGAAUAUUUAAUAUUAAGAAUUUUAUUAAAUUAUAUAUUUUUGUUAAAUUAUAUUUAAUAAUAAUUAUUUUAAAUUAUAUUUUAUAGUAUUAUAUAUUAUGAUUUUAGUAAAUUCAUAUAUUUUAUUAAAUUAUAUAUUUUUAUUAAAUAAUAAUUAUUUUAAAAUAUAAUUAAAUUAUUUAUUAUUUAUAUUAAUAAUCUUAUUAAAAUUUAAUAACAAUAACAAUAAUCAUCUACCUAAAAAAAUUUUGCUAAGGGUAUUCUAGUCAUUUAAAUUUUUUUCCUUAUACUAUUACACCUCUAUUCCAUUCAACCAAAUAAAAGAGUUACCUAUUACGCCUCUAUUUCAUUACACAUCUAUUCUAUUAAGUCUCUAUUCCAUUACAGCGAACCAAACUUGUUAUUAAUUUUCCCCUAAAAAUUAGAAUCCCCAAAUCCCUAAUUCCCCAAAUCUUCAUCCCCAAAUCGUCUCCCUUCCCCUUUCUUUUUCCUUCUCCCUGCUAUUCUGCUUCUUUGUUCCCUCUGUUUUCUUCUGAAUUCUCGGCUUCUCCUUCUGUCCGCCUUUCUCUUUUCUGCUUUUCUUCUGGCUUUAUAUUUCGAUCCAUAAUAGUCGAUUCUGUCAUAUGAUCGUCGCACCAUUCUGGGUGUAGCUUCCUCAUGGCCAGCCACGCCUUUUAAAUAUUGAGAUCGUCAGUUUGAAGCCUAGAAAUUAAAGAGCUAAAGGUCAUGUCCCUUUUCUUGAUUGAAAGUUUGGGUUUAUUAAGUUUUGAGUUCUCUCACUUUUUUUUUAUCUCUCCAGUUUCGAACUACAGAUAGAGUUUCUUUUUCUUUUUUUGAUUCGAUCUUUUCCCUCUCUUUCUCUCUUGUUUUGAUUCAAAUGGGAUUUCUUAAAUCUGAUAUGUUUUGUGUUGUAUUUUUUAAAUUUAAUAUAUUUUGGAGUUGUUAAAUAUGAUUUUUGUUUAUUUAUUUUGGAUUUCCAAAGGAAAGAAGGUGUGAGUAUUUAUAUUUAAUUAAUUUAGUAGUAAUGUUGUAUUUUACUUCUUCAAUAAUCUUUUCCUAAAUCUGAAAUUUGAGUUCACUGGCUGAAGCUAUGUGUUCCCUACUGUAUGCUAUCGGUGUCUAUAUUUUAAGAAAAUUUGGGAUUUUUUUAAGUUGAAACUUUCAAUUUAGAGUUCUUUAUAUGUUCAAAUUUUCAUAGAAAUUUCUUUUACAGGCUUAUAAUCUGUCUAAAGAUCACAAACCAGAGCCUGAGUUGGAGAAAGAUAGGAUUUUGAAAGCUGGUGGUUUUAUUCAAGUGGGACGUAUCAAUGGAAGUUUAAACAUGGCCAGGGCUAUUGGUACCUUCUGGAGAUUUGGGUGUGCGGAGCUCAAACAAAAUAAAACUCUGCCAGCUGAAAAGCAGAUUGUAACAGCUAAUCCAGACAUAAACGCUGUAAGUGAGUAGCUGUUUGCUCUAAUAUUUGUGUAACUCUUCCAACUCAUUUUAUAACUUUUGAUAAUGACCAAUUGAUUUAAUAAAGGAACUAUCUUAUCAGAAUUUUAAAAAAUAAGCAAUCCUGAAUUUCAUAAUAUCAUCUAAAUAUAUACACUGUUAAUACCUCAAAAUUUAGACAUAUUGGUUUGUUUGGAAGAAAAUAGGUUUGCAUGAAAUCCAUACCAAAAUAACAUGAAUAUAGAAUAGAAUUAAAGAGAUUAUCUUGAUAGCUUUAUAUAAAGCUGAUGAAGCUCUUCAUUAAGAGGCUUAUGAAUGCUACAGCUGAGAACAAGGGGCAUGCUAAUAAACAAUCAAAUUCAGUACAAGAAUUGCAUGAACCAACUAAAACCAAACCUUUUUUGCAUUGCAUUGCAUCAAUUAACUAAUUUCAAACCUUGCAAUUCACACAAGUGUUUCAAAAUCCAUUUUGAGAGAUAAGUUUACUUUAUCUCCGCUUUGCAAGAAAAUGACUAGGUCAUCCGCAAAAAAAUAGAUGAGAUAAAAUCGGACCCAAUCUUGAGAGACGAUUUAGAUUCCACUUACUAGUAGCAAUUUCCGCACGAAUAAUAUAUCCUAACCAUUCCAUACAAAGAACACAAAGAUAGGGUGAUAGUGGAUAACCAUGUCUGAUCCCUCUAACUGGCUUAAACUUCUGAGUGGGAAGACUAUUCCAUAGGAUCUGCAUAGAAGAAGAAGAUAUGGCUGCCAUUAUUAUAGUUCUGAGGAACUCGGGAAUCCCGACAGCUAGCUGAGACACACCAAUGGUUGGGGGGGAGUUUGUGAGCCACCCCACCACCCUGUUGAAACAUUUCCAUGUGCAUUCUUUUUGAGUUUUCUUGCCACUCAAAGUGUGAUGAGCAAUAAUAGAUAGUUCAACUUUGAAUUUUCCUAUUACCUCACGAUAUCUGUUACAUGUGCAAGUCGAAUUAAUCCACUAGCUCCAUGUACUAUUUUUAAUAAAGAAAGUGAGCAACUAGUUAUAAGUUAAUCAUGAUAAAGAUGGUGGUGCGUUUGGAUCAUAAUUUGCAAGCCUGUUUUUCACUUGUACUUUCUAAUUUGGACUCUGUAUGUAUGUAGAAAAAACAAACAUGGGUAAGAAAACACUUAUCUUCAGUGCUGUCUUUUCUAUGCUUUUACAACAUAUAAUUGCAUAUGUUGAAAUUCCAAACUCAAACUUGUUGGAUACUCAUCUUCAAAAAAAAAAAAAGAAAAAGAAAAACCAAGACACGGUUACGAUUGAGGCCGAUGAUUAAGCGAUUUCAACACCUCUUGCUAGCAAUACAAAGGCAACAAGUGGAGUUGGAGCAUAUUUGGACUGUUACUAAGGCAUCAAUGAUAAAUAUUACUUGCCACAAAUAAUAAAAUCAACACGAUAUGAAUGAUUUAAUAUUUUAGAGUUUAUAUAAAAAUACUUAGGUACAUGAAUUCUUAAACGAAAUAAACUUUGGUUUUGUUUGAAAUAAGAUGAAAUGUUUAAAAGUAAACUGUCUUAAAAUUUCAUCAUAUUUCUCGAACAAUUGUUCUUUUUAAUUUAUCAAACAAUAUCUAACUUUUUCAAAUAAUUUAAUUUUACUCUCAGAUGCCUCAUGUUUUGGUGCAUUUUCUUUCCGGGAAAAAAACUAAACAAUUGGAACUAUUUUUACACAAGAGUAAAAAUAAAAUCCCACCUUUUUUUAAUCUACAAGUUUCACAUUUAUAUUUAGGGAAUAAAUUAUAUUAGGAUCAUCCUAAAAAGUAUAGUUUUUAAGCACUAAUAAAAUAAUGUCAUGUCAUUAAAUUUUAAAGAUAACAAAAUAUUAUUAUACACUCAUCUGUAUCUAAUGUCUUCUCCAACUUAAUUUAACUUUAAUUAAAUUACUUAAAAUAAUUAAUUUUUUAAAUUAUAAACAAAUCUUUUCUUCUUUUACAAUUUUUAAUCAUUUUAGUUUUUUUCCAUAAGUUAAUAUUUUUUAUUUUUGUGCAACCAAUUUAAAAUAAUAUUAUUUUUUGUGCAAUUUUUUUCAUGUCAUUGACACAUAAUUUUGGUAAUUAUUUUUACCUUGAACCCAGAACGUCGAACCUUGAACCUUAAACAUUGGACCCCGAGGUUUAGGGUUUAGGGUUGAGAUUUACGGAUUAAGGUUUAAGAUUUAGGACUUAGGAUUCAUAGAUUAGGAGUUUAGGGUUCAAGUUCAAGGUUCAAGGGUUUUGGGUUAUGGGUUCGGGAGUUAGGUUUAGGGUUUUAUAUUUUUUAUUUAGGGUUCGGGAUUAUCAAAAUCAUGUGUCAAUAACAUGAAAAAAAUUGUUUAAAUUUAAUUAAAUAAUUGGAAAUGGACUAUGAAUAAUGUGGUGGGAAUGAUCCAUAAAAUAAUUUCUCUAUAGAUGGAUGUAUAAUAAUAAUUCACGUCUUUAAAAUUUGAUGAUGUGGAAAAAUUUUAUUGGUGCCUAAAAAUUUUAGUUUUUAGGAUCAUCUUUAUGUAAGUUAUUCCCUUAUAUUUAUUGUAAGUUAUUUAAUGAUUUAAAUAUACACAUCUGUAUAUAUAUUUAUCUUUAAAUAUAAUACUUACUUUUACUCAUAACUCUCAAUUCUCAAAUUGAAGGAGCACACGUUUAAAUAUACUUAAAUUCACAUCCUCUUUAUCGAUAUUGGUAAAAUCAAGAAGAUAGAUAGAGACAUUGCCCCUUAGUUAAACGAGAACUUUUUUAUUUAACUCCUCUCAAAAUAUAGAAAAAGUAAUAGUGUAAUUUUAAGAUUUUAACACAAAAAUUAUAACUUUUAACCCUUCCAAAAUGGUAUAAUUUUAUCUGUCCUCUUAAAUAAAAUUUCUAAAUUCAUUUUUGCAAUAAUAAAAAAAAUAUUAACAAAAAUAAUUGGAGAACAAGCCAUCAUCCAUUUCAGGAAUUUGCAGAUAACUUCUAAAAACAUUUGAGUCAAUUGCUUCUCUGCAUCUGUCUACUUUCUCAGGUUUUCAAACUUGUCCUUCUCUGCUCUCCUCCACCUUUCAUUUCACUAUAAUUUAUAAUUUUUACAAUCAUUUUCAAUGAAAUUCAUUUCUUCUUUAAUGAAAUUGCGCUGACAAACUCAGAGGCGCCGCUUUUUGACUUUGUACACCGGCACACUGCUCAUGGAUCCUCAGAAAUAAGAGGAAAGCCAUCAAUGCUUUUAAAGGGUUACAGUUUCAAGUUUCUAACACUCGAUAAGCACUGCCCAUCUUCAUGAUUUUUAAGAGAGACCUAUGCGAAAGAAAGGUGGAGUGGAAAUGAAUGGUUUGACAGUGACCUGUUUUCCCUUCACCAUCCGUCUGCAAACACACAUACAAAAAAAAGGUUUGGCAUUAAACUGGGGAUUCCUUAUCCCGUUUUUUACUUAAAUUAAUAACUAAAAUGGCAUGCCCAUUAGAUUAUUUGUUAAAAUGGUAUAGUUUUACUAGUGCUGCCUGUUAAAUUGGUGGCACCGGACUGAAAUGUAAUAAUCAAAAGUAUUUAGGAACCUGAUAUGCAAUAUUUUCAUUUUCAGUAGCUGCUGAAAAGAAAAAGGUAAAAGGGGGCUCAGUGCUGCCCGUUGGGGCACCAUUUAUCAAACCUUAAAUGUGACUAAUUGCCUUGUAAGUCCUCCUUAUUUAUCAUUUUUUUAUUCUCCUCCAACUCACUAUAUUGUGUUUAAAUAAUCCCUUAACCUAUUCUGUUUAAAUAUAUUUUACCUAAAGUAAAGCUAUUUAAAAAAAUAUAAACCAAUUCGCAUUUUAUGUUGAUGUGAACUUGAUGAGAAUAGUUUAUUAAAUAAAAAUAAAUAAAAUUUUAAAAUUUCUUGAGAGUGCUUAUAUACAUGAUAUUUUUAACUACUCUUUUGAAAUUUUUGAUUACUUUUUUAGAUUUUAUGUUGAUGUUAAAGUGUAUAUAAUUUUUUUUAGCAGCCACUCAAAAUGGAAAAUUUGCAUAUCAAGUCUCUGAAUACUUUAAAUCAUUACAUUUCAGUCCAAUACCGCCAAUUUGACAGGCGACACCAGGAAAAUCAUAUCAUUUUAGUAAAUAAUCUAUUAGACAUGUUAUUUCAAUUAUAUUAUUUAAAUAAAAAGCCGGAUUAUCCUAAAUGUUAGACACAAAACAUGAGCUUGGCAAAUUAGCAUCCACCCUUGUACAACUUAUCAGAGGUCCCUUGGACUUUCACAUGCUCCCAAAUAUCUUUAUCACCCAUCUUAUCGAUUUGGAAACUCAAUCCCACAAACUCAACAUAUUUUUACUUUAAUUUUAAAUGCUUUUAAGGUUUAAUAUAUCAUUUACUACUUUUAAGUUUGACAUCUUUUUUUAAUAUCGUAUUUGUGUCAUUUUUUUAGUUUAAUAUGACAUUUGUAUUUGAUAAAUGUUAUAUAUUUUGGUAUCCAAAGGUAUCUGUGUUAAUGUUUUAGUGUUUAGUUCAGAUUUUAAGGUUGACUUUGAUGAAAAUUAAUUGCCAACAUUAUUAGGUUUCAAUUUUUCUAUCAUUUUUAUUAAUAGAAUAAAUUUAGUGUUAAUUGUAAAUUAGUUUAAUUUUACAUUUAGUUUGUCAAAUAAUAGUCCGGUCAAUGUGAUUCAAUUCGGGUUUUAGGCUUGAUUCGAUAAAAGUUAAUUGCUAAUAUUGUUAGCUAAUAAUGAAUUUUUAUCAAAUCAACUCUAGAACUUGAAUUAACUACUAAAAAAAUUAACAUUGUUACUUUCAGAUAUCAAAAUGUAUAAAUUUUAUUAAAUACAAGUACCACAUUUAAAAAAAUAGUAAGUUAAGUCACUUAUAGGCGCUAAUCUUAAAUUUAAUUUCAAGUGGGAGUACAUGUGGAAUUGAAUGUAUAACCCAAUCUAGGGCAAUGUGAUUAAAGAGAUUUUUAAUAGGGAUAAAUUUUAAAAUUAUCCAUAAAAUUUGAUUUAAUGUGGUACAAUUAUAAUCGUGAAAUUCUAAUUAUGGUUCAAAUAUAUACUUGAAACUUUAAUUUUGGUUUAAUCAUACACAUUUAAAAAAAUACAUCAAUUUAUUUUUAUAUUGGAUAAAUAUAAUUAAUAAAAUAAUGUUAUAACAAUAAUUGUGUUAUCAUGAAAAAAUUUGCACAAAAUCAAAAUUCAUAUAUAGUUUUGAAAUUUAUCCCGACAAACUAAUUACAAAUGUAUAAUUUUUAAUAUGAAAGGUUAUAAGGAUAUAAAACCAUAAAUUUCCCUCUUAUUUAUGUAUACAAAUUAAGAAAAAGAGGUUGAAAGGUUUUGGUCUUCUCCACGCCUAGCUAGCUAUUUCUUUUUAUUUUAUUAUAAAUUCAAAUGUUGACUUUCAUAAAUAAAUAAAAUGAGGUCCCACCUGAUGUGGCGUAGAACUAGGACGGGUCUAACAGUAAAUAUAUUAUUAUAAGGAUAUUUUUUAUUUUAUUAUUUUUGUAUUGUUAUAUUUUAACUAAAGCCUCGCUCCUUUCUUUUUUUUAUGCAAUGAAUUUAUAAAUAUUUUUAUUAUAAUAAUUUAGUAAUUAAAGAAAAAUGAUGUAAAUUUUUUGAUAAAAUGAUAAUUUGAACCUAUACUAAUCUUAAAAAAAGUGAUCACCCGGCUAAUAAAUCACAACUCGAGUUUCAUAAAAAAAAGAUAUUCGUCAUUCACCUUCUAAUUUGUUUAUUAAUAGUAACAUGUGGACCUAAGCGUAAUCAGAAAAGUUAUUAAAAAUACAAUAUUAUUAUACAAAGAAGAAUGAAGGUUGAGAUAAAUAAAAAGAAGAAACUUAAAUUGGGUUUUAACUUGAUGCAUGAUAAUGGAAAUGUACCAAGUUUCUAACUGUAUAAGGCAGCAGAUUUUUUUAUUUGGCUUAUACAAAUUGACGUUCUUCUAAUUUUCAUUGGGCGGAGACUUUUAGUUAAUGAGGACAUAGAAAGUCACAUCAUGCCUCUUGGGAUGCCCCAACUCGCCCUAACAAACACGUUUCAAAAUUCCUGGUAUUUGGUUAGUGCAUACGAAGCUAACAUGGCAAUUACAAAUAGAAAAGCUUGUGAUUCUAUAAACAUACAUAAAAACUUCUUGCUUUCAUAUACUCUUUUAACUUUUUUAUCAGUACUAUGUUUUUGUGUAAAAGCAACCAAACCCCCCCCCCCCCCCCGAAUUUAAGCCCAAAUAGCCAAGAGAGACAUAAGACCAGCCCCGAGGAGAAGAGAAACACUGGCUCCGACUUGAAGUAUUCCAUUGUUUUGUAACUUCGGGUUCAUGAAAUCAGCGGCUAGAAGAUCCACCAACGCCAUGUAUAUUAAGAUCCCAGAUGAUGCCGCGUUCAAUAAUCCUUCCACAAUCAGUGCCGUUGGGCUGUUCUCAUCGUAUGCAUUUGUUAUUGCUAUUCCUAUAGCGAUUCCUACUGGUGUUGUCAGCGAGAAAAACAGUGACAUGAUUGCAACCGAUCGACCCUUGAAUUUAGCCUUUAAAAAACCAUUCAAUGCUAAUGAAUACAACAAAACUCCUGACAAAGAGUAACUCUUAAGCAUGGGUUUGAAUUUACCUGAGAAAUGCAUCCACCAAGUCCCAUGCCUUCGAAGAACUGAUGAAAGGUGAGUGCUGCCACCAAAGGUUUUAUAGUCUUUGGACUUUCUGAAGCACCCAAUGAUAUCCCUAUGAUCACAGAGUGCACCACUAUGCCCAAUUCCAAUACCUUUGAACAUCAAUCAGACAAACAGCUACAGAAAAUAUAGAAAAUAUAACAAAAACCACAAUCACGAUUGAUGAAAUAAAAUUUACCUGAGAUACUACUCGAUGCCGAAGGAGCUGAGCUGAAUCUGCAGGCUCAAGCAUAGAAACAGAACCAUGAGAAUGGCCAUGGGUGGCAUGAGUAUGAACAUGCAGAUGAUUUUCGGUUUGCUCUGUUUUCUCUUCAUCACCCUCGUGGGACUGUUGGGUUUUGUGAAGGUGAGAUUUGGUGUAAUGAGAUGUAGCAAACACAUCAACCAUCAAUGUGCCAAUGGCCGCCGUCAUAGCCAACAGUCCGGCGAACGGAAACUCUGUCCAAGGUUUCUCAUUGAGGCAAGGAGAUGUUAAGCUUUCAGUGGCAUCCGG